AGCUGACCUAGCUCAGCUACAUCCCAACUACCCUGAAGAUGUGACCAUGCUAUGUUUGCAUGUCUCCACUCUUCUUGAAGUUGUCCUUGACCAAUUACUUGGUUUGGACAAUAAAAUGAUACAGCAAGGCCCCAAUCUGCAAGCCAGGAAGAGUCGUCACGAGAACCAGACCAUGCAGGAACUCUGAUCGUGGACAUUUCAACCUCCAGAACUGUGAUCCAAAAUGCAUAUGUAUCUUUGGAAGAAACUCUGAAGUAAAGGCCGGAAUAUUCUUUGUUUAAAACAUUAAAAACAAAACAGACCAAAGCAUCAAGCAAGAAGUUUCCUGGCAAUAAACUAAGCACAGCAUUAUUUUUUAAGGAACACAAAUUAAGUGUUCAACCUGUGGCAAAUUUGUACUUUCUCCCUGAAUUAUGUUGUUAUCAAAGAAAAAAAUUGGGAAGCAUGGCAAAAUAUCAUCAAAACUGAAACUAGAAUUAAACAAAACUAAAUUAAAAUGAAAUAAAAUGAUGUCCAUUCUUAAUUCAUCCUCACAACUGGGCCACUAGUUUUAUGCAUCUUGGCAGCCAAUAUUUUUGUCUCUAGGGCAUAAAUUAUGCAUCAGGUACCUCUGAAACUCAGAGACCAAGGAAAAAGGAGCCAACCUGUCUCAAUGAUCCAUAAUGUUGCUACCCUGGUGCCAGAUGGAUAUGAUAGAAGGCUCCUAAAAGGCUCUUGGUUUGAGGAAAGUGUUGCUUACAUACAACAGGAAUCUUGUGGGAUUUAAGAAGUGGGGAGAUGUAAGUUUGAG
Molecule: long non-coding RNA, 790 nt
Filed under: Homo sapiens (human)
Lineage: Eukaryota; Metazoa; Chordata; Mammalia; Primates; Hominidae
Description: HSALNT0332382
Rfam family: Highly up-regulated in liver cancer conserved region (bases 235-474)
Source: RNAcentral